GAUUGAAAUAUUACCCAAAAAGUUUGGUUUGUUUUCCUCUAUACAAGGCCACUGUUUUCUUUUCUUCACUAUCUAAAAAUAACUUGGCAAGUGAUUUCGUAACAGUAAUGUUGGCAAAGGCAGCUUCUCAACAAAUCACAAACCAGUAAGAGAUAAAAAUAACCUAUUACAUUAGAGCUGACCUAAGAAUUAAGUAUCAAAGCUGCAGUUUACCUACUGUCUAAAGGAAAAGCAACUACCUUAUUCAUCAAAGGACGAAGUUUCUAGUGGUUCCUAUUAAUACAACGUCCCCUUUUCCCUCUGCUACUGUUCUUAUUGGACCAAACUGCUCUGGAAUCUGUGGUCGUAACAGACAAACAGGAGUUUAACACCGUAUCUGCAACCUUUGCAGGAAAACGAAGACCGUGCUUUACUUUCUUUGAAAUAAACUCCUUGGAGCAAUGUACAUCUUACUCUGUUCAAAUAAGUUCUUGGCCUACAGCUAAGCUUUUCAACAAUACAGCCUCAUCCUUCCCCAUUUCUUCUGAAGACCAGCUUAAAUUUUACCUUCAGUCUGUCCUUUUUUUCUCAGAUGUAAACUCCUGGGGUUGAUCUCUCCUUCUCCUCACUGUUUCCCACACUAGGAUUUGGUGGAUUCAACUUUCAUUUGGAGAGGGAGCAAGUGGCUAUGUGGUGCUUAGCUGCAGGCUGGAGUCAACACACCACAACCAGGAGCUUGAAGAAGCACAUGUCAGGAACUUGAAGAUCAAGAGGAAACCACUAAGAUAAUCCAAAAGAGCUGCUGGUGGAUCCAGUGCGGUUGCGACUCCCUUUGGAAUCUCCAUAGCUUUCUCUUCGACCCCCUGGGGACACACGCUCAGAUG
Long non-coding RNA from Apus apus (common swift), 863 nucleotides. RefSeq lists it as uncharacterized. Lineage: Eukaryota; Metazoa; Chordata; Aves; Apodiformes; Apodidae. The transcript is spliced from 8 exons. The record is from RefSeq and is a predicted model, not a curated record.